UAUACGGCGGACGGGUGAGUAAUGCUUAGGAAUCUGCCUAUUAGUGGGGGACAACAUUCCGAAAGGAAUGCUAAUACCGCAUACGCCCUACGGGGGAAAGCAGGGGAUCUUCGGACCUUGCGCUAAUAGAUGAGCCUAAGUCAGAUUAGCUAGUUGGUGGGGUAAAGGCCUACCAAGGCGACGAUCUGUAGCGGGUCUGAGAGGAUGAUCCGCCACACUGGGACUGAGACACGGCCCAGACUCCUACGGGAGGCAGCAGUGGGGAAUAUUGGACAAUGGGCGAAAGCCUGAUCCAGCCAUGCCGCGUGUGUGAAGAAGGCCUUUUGGUUGUAAAGCACUUUAAGCGAGGAGGAGGCUACUUGGAUUAAUACUCUAGGAUAGUGGACGUUACUCGCAGAAUAAGCACCGGCUAACUCUGUGCCAGCAGCCGCGGUAAUACAGAGGGUGCGAGCGUUAAUCGGAUUUACUGGGCGUAAAGCGUGCGUAGGCGGCUUUUUAAGUCGGAUGUGAAAUCCCUGAGCUUAACUUAGGAAUUGCAUUCGAUACUGGGAAGCUAGAGUAUGGGAGAGGAUGGUAGAAUUCCAGGUGUAGCGGUGAAAUGCGUAGAGAUCUGGAGGAAUACCGAUGGCGAAGGCAGCCAUCUGGCCUA
RNAcentral lists this ribosomal RNA (649 nucleotides) under Staphylococcus sp. EECC-407. RNAcentral describes it as "bacterial SSU rRNA". It matches the Rfam family "Bacterial small subunit ribosomal RNA", at positions 92 to 736 of the family's 1533-position model. Lineage: Bacteria; Bacillati; Bacillota; Bacilli; Caryophanales; Staphylococcaceae. The record is from RNAcentral.